This 425-nucleotide ribosomal RNA is filed under the name uncultured Gammaproteobacteria bacterium. RNAcentral describes it as "bacterial SSU rRNA". It matches the Rfam family "Bacterial small subunit ribosomal RNA", at positions 30 to 449 of the family's 1533-position model. The record is from RNAcentral. Lineage: Bacteria; Pseudomonadati; Pseudomonadota; Gammaproteobacteria.
AUUGAACGCUGGCGGCAGGCCUAACACAUGCAAGUCGAGCGGUAACAGAGAUAGCUUGCUAUCUGCUGACGAGCGGCGGACGGGUGCGUAACGCGUAGGAAUUUGCCCGAUAGAGGGGGAUAGCCCGGAGAAAUACCGGAUUAACACCGCAUACCUUCUAAGGAAGAAAGCAGGGGAGUCUUCGGACCUUGCACUAUCGGAUGAGCCUGCGUCGGAUUAGCUAGUUGGUAGGGUAAAUGCCUACCAAGGCGACGACCCGUAGCUGGUCUGAGAGGAUGAUCAGCCACACUGGGACUGAGACACGGCCCAGACUCCUACAGGAGGCAGCAGUGGGGAAUAUUGCACAAUGGGCGCAAACCUGAUGCAGCCAUGCCGCGUGUGUGAAGAAGGCCCUAGGGUUGUAAAGCACUUUCAGCGAGGAGGAA